Molecule: long non-coding RNA, 2509 nt
Organism: Triticum aestivum (bread wheat)
Lineage: Eukaryota; Viridiplantae; Streptophyta; Magnoliopsida; Poales; Poaceae
Exons: 3
Source: RefSeq, a predicted model, not a curated record
GCCACCGCCUACCCCGCAUUUUCUUCUCCCCCGAUUUAACCGGCUCUCUUCUCCCUACGACCGCAGCCCCGAUUACAGCGAUCGGCGACGGUGGAUCGGUGGAGGCCGCCCCACCGGCUGAGCUCGUAUCCACGCCCACAUCCUACCCCGCGAGAAGCCGGCCCUCUUCUCCCCCCAAUUGCAGCGACCGGCUACGGAAGAUUGGAGGAGGCCGCCUCACUGCGGCACCGCCGAACAUAGAUCCGCCGCAUCACCCGCCCUGCGAGCACCAGGCUCUCUUCUCCCCUGCGAUCGGCGACGUCUCUCUGUUCCACUAUAUCCUGCUUCACACUUACAGAAUGAAAACCGAUGGGGAGAAUAUCAGAGUAGGAUUUUUGAUGGUUCUCAUAUCUUUCACGGCUUCAUUAACUAUUUACAUUCUGUGUAUAUAAAUUAAAUAUAUGUAAUCACGAUGGCAGUUCGGAUUCCGUAUUAUAGAUGCUGUUUGUUUGGUAUGUGCUUGUACGGAUACUCUUGCGUACAGAAACUGUGAAGAUGAUACUCUUAUACACUGUUCAAAAAAUCUUCCGAUUCAGCGAUUAAUCUUCCGAUUUAUCGCUACUCAUGGGGUGACCGAUAAGAUUAUGCCUUAUCUUCACCGUUUAUCUUUUGGACUGAUUUAUCGCUCUGACAAGCGAGUUAUUGGGAAUCUACCGAUAAAUCGGACCUAUUCAUAGCAUAUGUUUGCAAAAACUAUGUUUAUUUGCGUUUUGUGGUCUUUGUUAUGCAAUAUGUACUGUUGUCCAAUUUUUUUGCCAUUAUACGAGGAUUCAAAGGCUAGGAAUCAAGAUAAUACUUCUGUCAAAUAUUAUUUUGGUGUUGAAUAUAGCGUAUUUUAGUGUUGGGUAACUGGGAUUUGCAAAAAAAUGUCUGAUUAAUAGUCGAUCGAUAAAAUCAAUUAAUCGACCGAUUUCCGAUUAAUCUCUAAUCCCCAGCUGACCGAGACGCUAACGAUAAGCGAUAUCCUCAACAUUGCUCUUAUAUGUUAGUGUGAAGAUGAUGUUCAUGGGCUUAGAAUUUUGGUGUUUGUAUAUUUGAGUAGGCACAGGUACUGUGAAUAUUUGAAUUUUUGCCAGACACCACGAUAUGUUAGGAUGGUCGAUGUACAUUUCAUUGGGUCUUAUGAUCCAUUAUCAUCGAUUACACUUGCAUGAUUUCCAGUGCAGAGCCGCAGGAAUUAGUCACUAAUGACAUACCUUUCUGUAGACAAUAUUUGCCUGACUGCCUAUGGUUACUGUAAAUUUUAUUUGUUCUUUUUGGAUUGUUCUGUUCCUCAUAUGUCGACACUUCAAGCUGGUACGACUUUUCCUUUAUUUUUCCCUUGAGGAAUCAUGGUCUCUUGGUGAAAAAAUGAUUCAAUGGUAGUUAAAUUCAUGGAAAUUGGGAGAUGCGUUGCAGGUUUCAGAAAAAAUAAGCUUUGACCAACAUUCAAUUUUCCAUUAGAUGCAUAAUCUUAAACUUCAGUUUGUGACUGUAUCCUGACAUACUAAACUGGUAAAAUCAAGCUGAUUGUUAACUUGUUACAUAAAUGUCUAGCUAUAAGUGGAGUGUCCACUCCUUGAAUAAGCUGCUCCUAGUUUAGAAACAUAGAGCACCAUCCAUCGAGCCUUAGUUUUGAAAGAGUAUAGUAAACUUUCUGGUUUUCUGAACUAUGCCAGCACCUACAGUAAUGUUAUUAUUUGUGUUGUUUUUUGUUCUGAACUUACUGGUGUUGUUUUUCUAGGCUUGUUGGCUGCUUCUCCUUGACCGUGCCCCGGUUGCAUCCUGCAUGUUGCUUGCUUCAUUUGUUACAUCACAAUGCAUGAAAUCUUCAUUUUCUGUUUAUGUAAUCUGACAUGAACUGCUUGUUAGCAGUGUCGCAUGUUUAACAUUAUUUUACACAAUCUAGGUCUUUUGGCAAUUCAUUCAUUUCACGCCCGGUCAUCUUUUCCAGCUUCAGUUACUAAAAUCAUGCCACCAGUUCUGGAGACUGAGAGGGGAAGCAGGGAAUAUCUCGCGGAACGAAAAAUAAAGCGUGAGGCGUAUUUGAAAGAAAGAGGAGGAAGGAAAGGAGAUGAAGAGGAGGCCGCUCUUCCUAUGUGCAAAGCAAUGGCACAAGGAUGAGUUACCCGUGAGACUUGAAGCACAAGAUAGAGCAUUUGAAGAGAUGUAGAGGAAGCAUCAAGAAGAAUUGGACGUUGUGAAGAAGAGCCAACAAGAGAAGAAUGAAGCUUGGGAAAAGAAGCAACAUGAGACGGAUAACCUGAUCGGUAUCCUCUCAAGUGCUCAAGCAACUUAGCAAGAAAGUCAGCCCAAACUUGAUGGUGCAUGAAGACCAUCCUUUUGUGAUAGAAAGAUAGUUGCUGAAUCAUACAUUGCAAUAUUUAGGACAACACAUGUGAUCUUUCAGUUAUGAAAAUAUUACUUUUUAUCUUGUCUAUUGUCAUGUCAAACUUGAGUCAGCGUUAUUUUUAUUAUCAUUUCUACUUGG